This 253-nucleotide ribosomal RNA is filed under the name uncultured bacterium. RNAcentral's name for it is "partial 16S ribosomal RNA". It matches the Rfam family "Bacterial small subunit ribosomal RNA", at positions 524 to 776 of the family's 1533-position model. The record is from RNAcentral.
UACGAAGGGGGCUAGCGUUGUUCGGAAUUACUGGGCGUAAAGCGCACGUAGGCGGAUACUUAAGUCAGGGGUGAAAUCCCGGGGCUCAACCCCGGAACUGCCUUUGAUACUGGGUAUCUCGAGUCCGGAAGAGGUGAGUGGAAUUCCUAGUGUAGAGGUGAAAUUCGUAGAUAUUAGGAAGAACACCAGUGGCGAAGGCGGCUCACUGGUCCGGUACUGACGCUGAGACGCGAAAGCGUGGGGAGCGAACAGG